Long non-coding RNA from Chiroxiphia lanceolata (lance-tailed manakin), 141 nucleotides. RefSeq lists it as uncharacterized. Lineage: Eukaryota; Metazoa; Chordata; Aves; Passeriformes; Pipridae. The transcript has 4 exons. The record is from RefSeq and is a predicted model, not a curated record.
GACGGCUCACUGCACCCUGACCGACGAACCUAAAUUUGGAAUAUUGAGCAAAGGAAGAACCGGUCAAAUCCCGUAAUAUUUUGUGCACAAAAGUCCGGACGAAGACGCAGGACGCUACUGUGAAAAUGUAGCAACACCAAU